RNAcentral lists this ribosomal RNA (521 nucleotides) under uncultured soil bacterium. RNAcentral describes it as "bacterial SSU rRNA". It matches the Rfam family "Bacterial small subunit ribosomal RNA", at positions 8 to 526 of the family's 1533-position model. The record is from RNAcentral.
AGAGUUUGAUCCUGGCUCNNAUUGAACGCUGGCGGCAUGCUUUACACAUGCAAGUCGAACGGUAACAGGCCGCAAGGUGCUGACGAGUGGCGAACGGGUGAGUAAUGUAUCGGAACGUGCCCAGUCGUGGGGGAUAACGCAGCGAAAGCUGCGCUAAUACCGCAUACGAUCUAUGGAUGAAAGCGGGGGACCGUAAGGCCUCGCGCGAUUGGAGCGGCCGAUAUCAGAUUAGGUAGUUGGUGGGGUAAAGGCUCACCAAGCCAACGAUCUGUAGCUGGUCUGAGAGGACGACCAGCCACACUGGGACUGAGACACGGCCCAGACUCCUACGGGAGGCAGCAGUGGGGAAUUUUGGACAAUGGGGGCAACCCUGAUCCAGCCAUUCCGCGUGAGUGAAGAAGGCCUUCGGGUUGUAAAGCUCUUUUGUUCGGGAAGAAACGGUUUUGGUUAAUAACCAAGACUACUGACGGUACCGGAAGAAUAAGGACCGGCUAACUACGUGCCAGCCGCCGCGGUAAUUC